ACUCCAAUAGCACAAGAAGAAUUCUGGAAGACAACAGCCUGGAUGACCUCCUUUCCUGCAAAGGAUGGAAAGUCUUAUUUCAAAGCUUCCAUUGACAAGAUGAUGGGUAUGUUGUGAGCUCCUGAUAAUGCCAGGGGUAAAGUAAACAUCUUUCCUUUUUUCUUUAACCUGAGAAAAGCCAAUAUUAGAAUGAGUGGUCUCAAAUUUUGAGGAUUUUGCUGAACUCAAUAUCCUCACCGCCAAAGAAGCAAGGUGAUAGCGAAGCCCACUCCUGUUAUCAAAGGAGUCUUUACCCUCUGCCCUCAAAUCGCACUGGCCUUCUUUGAGUUUAUUAGACAUGACCUACUGGCUCCCAUGAUGAAUUUUGGCCUAUGCUGUUCUCUCUGCUGCAGACACUGUUCUCAAGUUUCUCCCUCUGGCUUCCUCUUCGUAUCUUAGCCAGAUUACUUCCUUUCCUGAUUUGCCAACUAGAUCAACAGUUCACUUGUUCUGGAAUCACCAAGCUAAAUAAAAUACAGCCUGUGACAUGGAAGAGCUCACCAUUUGCUAAAAAAGACUGA
Molecule: long non-coding RNA, 560 nt
Filed under: Papio anubis (olive baboon)
Lineage: Eukaryota; Metazoa; Chordata; Mammalia; Primates; Cercopithecidae
Description: lncRNA (ENSPANG00000039853.1)
Source: RNAcentral